Triticum aestivum (bread wheat) is the source of this 3656-nucleotide long non-coding RNA. RefSeq lists it as uncharacterized. The transcript has 5 exons. NCBI's taxonomy places the organism in Eukaryota, Viridiplantae, Streptophyta, Magnoliopsida, Poales, Poaceae. The record is from RefSeq and is a predicted model, not a curated record.
CCAAAAAAAACACUUCGACAAGCGAGCCCCCUUUUCUCUCCUCGCACCAAUCCUCCUGUCCCCGAGCCCCUCGCAAGCGCUAGGGUUCCCCCACCCCCAUCUUCUGCAACCACCACGCCGCCGCCGCCCCCAUCUUCUGCGACCACCACGCCGUCGACGCCGUCCUGAAGCACGCUACUCCUCUCCCUUGCCAAGCCGCCCUGGAUCUUGCGGUGGAGCUGGCCGCCUCGUGGCCAUGGAGGGCUCGCCAGCCGCCUCCGGAGUCCCACAUCCCCAAGAUCGACUGGAUUGCAGCCGCCUAGUCGAGGUCGUCAGCCUUGACGGGCUCCUCCAUCACGUCUGGUCCCAUGGCUCCUCCGGUACUACCUCGCCUGUGCUUGCUCCCGUCCACGCCGACGUCUUGCUCGGGCCGCGGCAUGACCUGCUCGCCACGCCCGCCCAAACCCCAAGCCACACUUUCUCUUCCACCUCUGCGUACUCCUGGUUGCAGCGCCAGCUCGCCACGGGCAAGGAUCGGCAGCUCGCCGGCGUGGCGCGUGGCAGGGGAGAGAAGGGGGGCAAGAUCGGCGGGGCAGAGUUCUUCCGGAAGGACGGCGUGGUGGGCGACAUGGACGGGUACCUCAACUACCUGUCCCUCGAGUAUGACUUCGUCUCGGACACCAAUUCUUCUUGACUGAUCUGCUAUGGGUGCGGUUCCUUGUGGCAGAGUUCUCUAUAUUCCAAUUAAUUUCAAAGCAGAUGACAAAUUGAGAUCUACUUGUCAAUUUAUACUGUAUCUCAGAUCACAUUUGUGCCUUGAAUAUUAGCUUCUUCACGGCAAUUUCAAAGUUACAUGUACCAUAGUAAGCCAAUCAAAAUCUGCACCAUAUUAGUCUGAUGCUUUCUUACCCGCUCAUCUUGAAUUAGUAGGCACUUUCCAAUAGGAUCAGCUUUGUUGUACAAAGUCACUUGUAUUUUCCAUGUUAUUUGCAGGGUAUCUUCAAGGUCCAUGCUCCAAAUAUAAAUAAGAUUUGGUCCGACGGGCCCUUCAUUGGCGUACUCCUGGGACACCUCCAUGUAGCACCAAGGUAAAAAAACACCCUGUUGUUGGUCCCUUUCAAUUGAAAUAUUCCUUUUACAUGCUCAGGUCGUAAGUUUGUGAUCUACAAGGUUUAUAUGAAAAAGGAUUUCCAAUUAUGAUAAGUUGUAGCUUAUUGAUCCCAACUGUUAGACCAUGUGAGCUCACUGAUUUUGCCGUCUGAAUGUCUGUAGAGUGAAACAAAUGUAGCAGUCGUAUGCCAUCUACUUGCCGAGUUGCAUCAUUAGCCUGAGCAGAUAGCCAUCUUGCAUAUUGUUUGCCCCAAUAAUAUUUCUCAUUUUUCCUGAUGCAUCUUUUGCCCCCAUUGGAGUUAUGGUUAUCUUCUUACAUGGUUGACAUGUCAAUUUUUUAAACAAGGGACCGGUCAUAAUCAGCAAUCCUGAUUAGCUUAUGCCUUGCCUCGUAUCAAUUUUGAGUAUUAGUUUGUUCACCAUCAUCAAUAAGUGGGACCUUUCGUUUCUUCACAAAUGUUGGCCAACCCACCAAAUCGUUCAACUCAUCAACUCACAAAAUGCACGACCAUCAAGCAAGCUAGCACAAGCUAUUUAACUAAAGAAAAGUCACUCUGUAGUGUGACUACAAAUUAGAUUACAGAGGGAAGUUUGCAAAUCACUAGCUCUGAAAGCAUAAAAUAUAUUUCAGUUUCUAGGCUGCUACAUUAUUUUGAAACAUGAGCUUUUUUAAAACUGAGUAUUUAACGUAGCUUGUUGUUAUUGUCAAACUGAAAUGGCGAGUAUGUAUUUGUUGCUUUUUGUUUAGGAAAGUGAAAAAAACAAGAUGCCGUUUGUAUGCCAGGAAUGGCAUAUGUGAACGACUCGGGUGGUAGUUUUUAGGGUAGGGGCAAGGGGCAUUCUUUAUAAACUGCCAUGGCAGUUCUUUAAUUUAGUGCAAUUUUUUGAGAAGCAGCCAUCCACAGGAUCUUGAUUGUGUGGUUCUGUGUGUGUUCACUGGGACCUCAUCACCAGCGAACGUUCGCCGGGUAUUGUUCAACAUGGCUCUGGAUAAUUUAAUGAUUCAAUCAAAUUUCAUUGCAAAGUAUACUGGACCAGGCUUUCCUUCUUUCUAAUGCAGUGUUAGUUGGCAUUAAGUUGUGAAAUCCAAAUCCAUACAUUUACAGUUCUUGUUGUUCUAAUUACACAAGUAUUUUCACACCGAACACCAUCUCAGUAACCAAACCUAAUAUAGUAGUUAGUUUUGGCAUUAGACACAACAACUUUGACAUUGAUAAUUUCCUCAUAUAUUUAGUAGGACAAUAAACUUGUCUAGCAUUUCAUUAUGAGUUGCAGGCUCUGAAAAUAAAUGUAUGUGCCCCCUCAAUGAUUAAGGGUGUGGUUUUUGAAUUAUGCAUGCUGACAUGCAUUGGCAAUCAUUAUUAAACAGUAUUCCUUUUCACUGAAAUAUAACCAUGUAAUGCUUAUGAUUUAAUCUGGUUAUCUAGACAACUAAAUGUGUUAAAGUUAUGCUUAGUUUCUUUUGGCAUAUGUAAUGCGUGGAAGGAAACCAGUGUCUUUUGAUAGGGAUUUCUGGAGGUAACAUGCCUCUGACUGUAUGCACUGAAUUUCAGAUGCUCUGUUUAGAAGAUGUUUUCUUCAGUAGUACUUCAUAUUUUUAUGAUUUCCUGUAACUUGCUGAUAUGGCACCGAUUUGCCGCAUGGUGUGCUACAACUACACUCCAGGGGAAUAUUUGUUCAGAAUCUUCAGUCUUGUAAUUUUCUCCUUGAUGACAAUGACCAUGCCGUGCUGGGGAUUUGGGAUUCCAUCCUUGCUGUUUGGACUUCCGCUGCCAAAUCCAGAUCUUAUCCAAAGACUUGGGACUCCAAAUUACAUGCCCCAGAACAUUGGCGACCAAACAUCAGAGGCCCAAUUAGUUACGAGACUGACUCGUUGGGGUUUCGCUUGUAGCAUUCUUGAGAUGUUCAGUGGCGUUCAGACUUGGUGUGCCAAAUCACCAGAUGAGAUUUAUCAGUCAGUUGUCCUGAAGAAAGAGAAACCGAUGUUCCUGUAUAAUUUACCUACGGAGGUCGCUAAUGUCCUCUCUGGCUGCUAUGAGUAUGACUUUCAGGAUCACUCCUUGAUGUUAGAUAUCUUACAGUCAUUUGAAAGAUGGAUUGAGGAGGUCAGAGAUGUAUAACAGCCGUAUUGAUCCAAUUGACAAGUUGGAGGUGACACAUGAACGUUGGCAAUGCAAAAUAGCAUAUAUAAAAUAACUGCAGCUCAGGCCAUGUAGUUCUACAACAACCAAGGAAGAAGUCCGUUUUUUAAGCCGACCUCGGCCAAGCAUUUAAGCUUAUAUGGGUGCUCUCUAUUUUUCAGAGAUGAGGAGGUGGGAGAGGCGCCGCCCAAGGAUGUCAGGGGAGGAGGGCAACAAGGCUGGGGAGCGGAGGCGGAGGCUGACGGGGAAGAGAAUGAUCAAGCAUGUAAAUUGAGAGCACAAGCUCAUGAUUUAUCAAGGGAGUGGCGCUGCCGCCGGAUUAGAAAAUCAUAUCUCACAUUAAGGUGUUUUUGUCUUCUGUUUUUGUACAAAUUUGGUGCAGGCAAAAUUUUGAUGAUAUAUAUAAGAUGACUAGCAUUAUCUUUU